Schistosoma haematobium is the source of this 45-nucleotide non-coding RNA. NCBI's taxonomy places the organism in Eukaryota, Metazoa, Platyhelminthes, Trematoda, Strigeidida, Schistosomatidae. The record is from Rfam.
AUCCAGCUGACGAGUCGCGAAUAGGACAAAACUUGUGUCCUGAAU